RNAcentral lists this long non-coding RNA (318 nucleotides) under Gossypium raimondii (Peruvian cotton). Its description in RNAcentral is "long non-coding RNA (GRAI_LNC001077)". Lineage: Eukaryota; Viridiplantae; Streptophyta; Magnoliopsida; Malvales; Malvaceae. The record is from RNAcentral.
GAAAUCAAUAAAAAUCCCCCCCGAAUCUUUUUCUUUUCAUUUUUUUUCUUUUUCUCCUCUUUUUGCUAUCGAUUUCCACUCUUUUUGUUUGCUUUCUCUGCCUUGUUCGUUUGUUUGCAGGUGUAUGAGCGUACGACGGCCAGCUGGGACGUGGCACGGCUCAUGUGAGGCAUCGCUCGUGGUGGGCGCGCGAGGAGGCGGCUGCGGUGCUCGUGCUAAGGCUGAACGCCUAGGGUUUUCUGUUAAUUGUCUUUGGGUCAAUAGGCCAUUGGGUGUUUAGGCUAGUUGGGCUUAAUGGGCUGGGGACAUGUAUUUGGG